AUACGUAGGUGGCAAGCGUUAUCCGGAAUUAUUGGGCGUAAAGAGGGAGCAGGCGGCAGCAAGGGUCUGUGGUGAAAGCCUGAAGCUUAACUUCAGUAAGCCAUAGAAACCAGGCAGCUAGAGUGCAGGAGAGGAUCGUGGAAUUCCAUGUGUAGCGGUGAAAUGCGUAGAUAUAUGGAGGAACACCAGUGGCGAAGGCGACGAUCGGGCCUGCAACUGACGCUCAGUCCCGAAAGCGUGGGGAGCAAAUAGGAUAAGAUACCCUAGUAGUCCACGCCGUAAACGAUGAGUACUAAGUGUUGGAUGUCAAAGUUCAGUGCUGCAGUUAACGCAAUAAGUACUCCGCCUGAGUAGUACGUUCGCAAGAAUGAAACUCAAAGGAAUUGACGGGG
Molecule: ribosomal RNA, 392 nt
Filed under: uncultured bacterium
Lineage: Bacteria
Description: partial 16S ribosomal RNA
Rfam family: Bacterial small subunit ribosomal RNA
Source: RNAcentral